This 497-nucleotide ribosomal RNA is filed under the name uncultured bacterium. RNAcentral's name for it is "partial 16S ribosomal RNA". It matches the Rfam family "Bacterial small subunit ribosomal RNA", at positions 28 to 507 of the family's 1533-position model. The record is from RNAcentral.
GAUGAACGCUGGCGGCGUGCCUAAUACAUGCAAGUCGAGCGAACGGACGAGAAGCUUGCUUCUCUGAUGUUAGCGGCGGACGGGUGAGUAACACGUGGAUAACCUACCUAUAAGACUGGGAUAACAUCGGGAAACCGGAGCUAAUACCGGAUGAUAUUUUGAACCGCAUGGUUCAAAAGUGAAAGACGGUCUUGCUGUCACUUAUAGAUGGAUCCGCGCUGCAUUAGCUAGUUGGUAAGGUAACGGCUUACCAAGGCAACGAUGCAUAGCCGACCUGAGAGGGUGAUCGGCCACACUGGAACUGAGACACGGUCCAGACUCCUACGGGAGGCAGCAGUAGGGAAUCUUCCGCAAUGGGCGAAAGCCUGACGGAGCAACGCCGCGUGAGUGAUGAAGGUCUUCGGAUCGUAAAACUCUGUUAUUAGGGAAGAACAUAUGUGUAAGUAACUGUGCACAUCUUGACGGUACCUAAUCAGAAAGCCACGGCUAACUACGUG